RNAcentral lists this ribosomal RNA (386 nucleotides) under Lecanora praesistens. RNAcentral describes it as "SSU rRNA". It matches the Rfam family "Bacterial small subunit ribosomal RNA", at positions 805 to 1210 of the family's 1533-position model. Lineage: Eukaryota; Fungi; Ascomycota; Lecanoromycetes; Lecanorales; Lecanoraceae. The record is from RNAcentral.
AAUGAUGAAUGUCAUAGAUUAGACAUAUAAUAGUUUAUUCUAUAAAUGAAAGUGUAAGCAUUCCACCUCAAGAGUAAUUUGGCAACAUUGGAACUGAAAUCAUUAGACCGUUUCUGAAACCAGUAGUGAAGUAUGUUGUUUAAUUUGAUAAUCCACAAAAAACCUUACCACAAUUUGAAUAUUUAUAUUAUUUUUAUAUCUAUUAUAUUUUAGAAAAAUAAUACAUUUACAAGCGUUGCACGGCUGUCUUCAGUUAAUGUCGUGAGACUUUGGUUAGUUCCAUUAAAUUAACGUAAACCCUCACUUUAUUUUUAUAUAAAGUAGUUCCCCACUAGAUUGGAUAAGAUAACAGGGACUAAGACAAGUCAUCAUGGCCUGAAUAUUGU